UACCUUAAUCAUUUGACGUUACCUACAGAAGAAGCACCGGCUAACUCCGUGCCAGCAGCCGCGGUAAUACGGAGGGUGCAAGCGUUAAUCGGAAUUACUGGGCGUAAAGCGCAUGCAGGUGGUUUGUUAAGUCAGAUGUGAAAGCCCUGGGCUCAACCUAGGAAUCGCAUUUGAAACUGACAAGCUAGAGUACUGUAGAGGG
Molecule: ribosomal RNA, 202 nt
Filed under: Vibrio cholerae
Lineage: Bacteria; Pseudomonadati; Pseudomonadota; Gammaproteobacteria; Vibrionales; Vibrionaceae
Description: partial 16S ribosomal RNA
Rfam family: Bacterial small subunit ribosomal RNA
Source: RNAcentral